UCUAUGGUGUGCCAUGCAGUGGUUUCUACUAGUUGCCACAAAGUAAAAAUUAAUGGGGGGAUAAAUCACUUUUUGGUCUUAAUUUAAGGUUAGCAGUGAGGUUAAGAUUAGGGUUAAGGUUUGAAAUAAACGUGGUUUAUGACAUUGUAGCUGUGGUAACUAGUGUAAAGUGGACAUUCCUGCAUACGGAAAACUGUCGAGAUUGCCACGGCGAGAUAACGUGAAUUCAUUUGCCAUUUAUUUUCCGCGUCAACAGGUGUCUCCAGGUGCGAUAUCCAAGAGCAUGUCUUCAGUUCACUUUAGUAUCAUGUUGUUGAUACUGUCAACACUAACUCCCAUUCUCUUGCAAGACUGUAAAUUGUCUUCGGUUGAGGAACAUUUUGAAAUCUCUUGCAAAAAGGAUGAUGAAGAAAUAUGCAAUUCUACCACCGGCUGUGGAUGGGUUGGUUUCAACACUGAAAUGUCAUUUGUUUGCUCUAAAGCGUCGAAUGGCGAGUUCCAAUGCAAGCGUGACAUAACUGAAACUUCGGAGAAAGAAACAUGUGAAAAACUAAUGAAGAACUUUUGCAAAACCAACGACAAAUGUGGAUUCAUUAACCCUGAUAAAAAUCCUUUAAUAUGCGAAAUAAAGAUGAAAAAAACAGUGCCCCCAGUGCAAUCAAUUGUGCAAGCAGUGCAAGUGGAUAAACACAGAAAUGAAUCAACUGGAGAAGAAAGAAAUUCCAACCAGUCAUGCAUUUUCAUUUGCAUUUUCUUUUGCAUUGUAUGCAUUGUAGUUGGAAUUUUCAGUGGAUUUUUUCUGGAAAGAUGUCUCUCUGGUAACAGGCACAUUGCAGUACAUGAAGAAGUAACGUCCAGGACACAGACAAUCUAACUCUAACUGACUUUAACAAGCUAGAUACUAUUUGUUUCAUUUAUUACUUUUUUAUUUUGGGUGUAUUAUUUUUGUCUGAGCUUGGGUUGAGUCAUUGUGGGGUUGUGUUAACCUUCACUGACUCGGAUCAGGCCCUUAAUUGUUUUAUUUCUCUGUUUAACUCUUUAUCGAAAUUACGGAUUGCCUCUUAUCCGCUCGUCGUCCCCUUAUGCCAUAGUAAAUAAUGCAUCACUCCCCUAGUAGAACCCCAAGGACUAACCUGUAAUCAGUAGACAAGCUACAUGUCCAGUACCUUCCUCAUUAUCUCACCGUAGUUUAACACUGGAUGUCUACUUUCACUAUUUGCAGGUCUGAAUAAGAACUGUGGGAUGUCAUUCAUUAUUGUGGUGCAAUGGACUUUAGCAUUAGGGAACAUUAGUGAUGUUGGCAAAAAUUGUGAAAAUGGGUAACAGUUGUGCCUAAGGGAGGGAUGCCGAGGCCUUGUCUAUUACUCAGAUUGGGUGUGACCACAAUAUUUGCUCUAGCACACCUUAGUGGGAGUUAUUUUCAGUUUAUUGCAAAUUCAAGUUAUUCAUUAGGGACAUAGCAGGUUUUUAGGCAGGAUGAACAUACAAUACAGAACAUAUAGAUUCUGUAUAAACACCAGUUGAAUGUUAGUCCACUGUUGAUGCUACUUUUUCAGUUCCAUUUCUCAUUCUAGGGAGAUGGGUUACAUCUUACUGAAGCAUCGGUUAUUAUGAUCAAUAUCAUUCACUGUUUAUAGAUAAGGAGGGAUUGUCCCCUUUUCAAUGGCUGAUUGUUGACCUCUUGGAUGGGUUUUAUGUAGAAUUUAUUUUCCACUACAUGACUUUGGUACCAGAGAGAGUUCUCUGUGUUGGAUGGUCACAUACACAGUAGGAGGUUUCUUCCUAAUCUACAGUGUCAACUGCAUCUACUGUUGGCCUACUACAGAUGAUCCUAACCAAAACCAAUAAUCUUUCACUACUAUCAGAAUUCAGAAAAUAACACUUUGUAAAACACCACCAGUCCUGAAACAUCCUUAGAGGUUCAUUGUUUAUUUAUAACUCAUGGCUAGGUUGUUCUCCUGUUGUGUACUUCAUGAAACCACUGGUGACACGAGGGAGUAAAUUAUUGAUCACAUCAGAGGAGAGAUGUGGCUGACUCACCCUCAUCACCUCAAACCAAUCUGUUUCUUUAUUCAAACACUGCUUUGAAAAUGGGGAAGACAAGGUCAAAUACUUGAGCUCAGAGAUUUGAAUUUUCCAUGUAUUGCUUUUGGAUUGUAAGAAUCACAGGUUGUGGUUGCUGCAUCAAGAUACAGUUGAAGUCACAAGUUUACAUACACCUUAGCCA
This is a long non-coding RNA of Coregonus clupeaformis (lake whitefish), 2227 nucleotides long. RefSeq lists it as uncharacterized. The record is from RefSeq and is a predicted model, not a curated record. NCBI's taxonomy places the organism in Eukaryota, Metazoa, Chordata, Actinopteri, Salmoniformes, Salmonidae. The transcript is spliced from 7 exons.